GUAAGUAUAAAUAAUAAAAAAACUGGAGGAAGCAGAUGAAGCAAAGCUUAGCCUACACGAUUACUGAAAUGCAACUACUUGACUGAAAAAUGCCUGCAAGAUUGAGUAAAACCCACAGAAUUUUGGAUAAGCACUCAGAAUAUCCACUGCAGUUCUGUAUUUACCACGUGUAUGAAUGAGAAUGGAAAGAAAAUAUAAUUCUCCUCAUUUCAUCUCAUUCAAUAUAGGAAUUACUUAUUGAAAGAAACUUCUGUAAGUUACCAGCUUUGAGACCAGCUACAUCUGUACACGCCACAAGUUAUCUAAUUAAACGAACACAUUUAGCACUUUGUAGCAGCUUGAAUUUUUCAAAUCAUUCCGAGCUUGAAUAAAUUUCUUCACUUUAUUCCCCCAGUACCUGUGCGUAACCCUCACAGCUCACUUACUUGUCAAGUUAAACUUCCACAGCAGAACAGAAAUUAGAAGUUAAACAUGCAGCAUGAACAAAGAACAUCCUGUUGUUCUUUUCAGAGGGUCAGACUCGAGUGUAGUCAUCGCAUCAGUCAACUAUUUUCCCUUCCACAGUAAUUAAAGGAAGGAAAUUAGCAUGUAUUACUUUCCAAAAGUUUCUAUGAUAAUGAAGUUAAAAAUCUGGACAGUCCUAAGUCUUAUCGUCACUUUGACAGCAGAGGCAUAUGCCUCAGCUUCCAUAUUCCCAAUGCAAAAAUACAAUAAUUUCUUUAAUGUUCCCAAAAAAUGAAGAGUGAGGUUGUUGUGUUGAACAGGAUUAAACUACCCAAAGUUUCAUACUGCUGUUAGCAAUUACUCUCACCGAGAGAAAUGCAACUGCCGAAGGUAUUAAUUGAUACUAGGUCCACACAACAGGUUUCUUGUUAUUCGUAAUGAUUCAGGUAUUUAAUUUUCACUCUAAUUUAGGGUGUUAAGCAUAAGUAACCACUCUACUUCAUAUUUGUUCUAAUGUCUGGGUCAAGUGUAUUUCCUGUGCAAAACAUCUAUUUCAAUAAAGUUUAAACCACUCCAUACAUUGUUCUUAGCUAUUCUGUUUAUUAAAAAACAUGAGCUACCUUAAGUUUGCAUUAAACCAACCUGAUUGCUCUGAAGUAAAAGGCUACCUUACAAAGUUAGUGUGACCUACUCCUUUAAAUACCAGAUCUGCUCCUCAGCUUAACUGGGAAGGGAAUUAUUUCUUGCCAUUUUAUAUUAUGCUUACAGAGCACCCCUGGCACCAGUGCGUACCAUAGUAUUGCUUACUGUAGUUAGCUAGCAUGCCAACUUGUUAUUUGUAACUAUUAAUAGAAAUUGAAAGAUCAGAUCACCUAACCCCUCUCCUCCUGCAACAGCUGGCUUUAAAUUAGACCUUUUAUAUCUAGCACACUACACUUCUUCCCUUGGCGUUCUGAAAAAUCGUUUUAUAGAUCUGUCUCUCCAAAGUCUGUCCAGAAGUUCCUCUCCACUAAGCUCACAGUGCAAGACUCCACAGGGAUACCAAAGAUCUGAUGUUCAUUCUUGACAAUAACCCACUGCCAGAAUCAGUUCUCGAACCUAUUUUUCCAGAUGCCGUACAGCUAUGUUGUUAGUGGUACAAUGUCUUUUUAAAAUCCACGAUGUUUAAGAUCGUAAGGUGGAGAAAGAAACUCUAAGUUACUUAGUGGUAUGCCUAGAUAACAGAUUUGCUGCAGUAUUGCUCUUGGACUUGUGUCAGAAAUGUUUACAGCCAGCUAACUUCUUUUAAUUCUGUACAUUGCUUUGCUCCUUUGGUAUAACAUAUAUACCUUAAAUUUGAACACCACUGUCUUUAUCUCUCUCAAAAUUUCAAUAUAAAAUGUUUAAUAUAUUGAAUUUGAAAAACCUUCAGCCGUUUCUCCUAAGUACUAAGCUAAUUCAUAUCCGUUAAGAACCCUCCAGAAAAAUUCAUCCACGACUGCUUAAAACACUGUCUGAUCAUCUGAUCGUGUAGACCAUGACCAUUAGAAUUAAGUUUAAAAGCCUGAACCGUCAUACAUUUCUCCCUGAAUAUUUGCAAUAUUUGCCUUUUCGGUGGAAGCUUUCCACAUUUUAUUUCUACCCACAGAUGAAUCAUAGACUUUUAACCAAAAUUCAUGUGACCAUUUUUGGGUAUAACAAAGAUAGUAACAGAAGCGGGAAAGAAAAAAAGCUUUUCCAGAGUAUUAAGAAGUGUUUCUUUUAGAAGGCAACCAUAGCUAAAAAGACAAAGUUUAAAACUUGGCAGUAAUAUACUAAACUUCCACAAAUAAUAUUAAUUCACUUAGAUUGAUCGAGUUACUAUAUGCCAUCUUUUUUUCCUCUUUGUCCAAACAGCUAUAGGGAAGAUGUGACAGCAGAAAUACUGCUGUCAAUAACAAUACUCAUUUCUGAAUGCGCUCCUGAACUCGCCUGCUGAUCUUAAAACUCCAAUAUUUAAACAACCCUUUUUCCACAUACAUUCUUUUUUGAGGGCGUUAAGAUAAUCCAGAAGUGGAAUAGAGGUUUUGCUGACAUUAAGUGCUGAAACCAAAAAUACUGUUCUUUAAACACAGUACAAUGCUACGGAUACCUCAGUUUCACACUGCAAAAAGCAGUAAUGAAAUUGCUAUCAUUCGAGUUUUACAAGGCCAUAUUAGCCAAAGUCCUCAGUUACACAUUACAAAGCUAUGCCUACUUACAAUUUUUUUGGCCAAUGAAAGAAUCCAUUUACCACUAUUUUCUAUAAGCUUUUCUUAAGACAGAAACUAAGCAAUUUUCUCUGCAAGCCCUGGACAAGCCUACAGCCUUAUUACUGCUGCACUUGGACAGGUACAACACGUUUAAAAAGUAGAAGCGAAGCACAGGAAUUAUUCACAAGGGAAAGGAACUAAGAUGAAAGAUCAAGAGAUUUUUGGAAAGGAAAGGAAAAAAAAUAUCUUACUAGGGGCUAAAGAGCUCUGAGAUGGAAGACAAAGUGCUCUGUCCCCUGCCAGGAGCUAAGGAAAAGAGAAAAAGGGGCUUGAGGUUUACUGCACAUCUACAGAGAGAAUCUGAAGUGAAGGUACCAUGACGCUACCUUGCUCCAAGCUGCUGGAGGAAGCCAGGACUGGCUCUCUGAACUUAGUGCUAAUGAACGCUAGAUCAUUCACUUGAUCUCAGUCUACCCACAGCAAGUCAAUAAACAGAACACCACAGCUACUACAGCUUCCAGUCAACUCCCUGCCGUUCAGCUCCACAUCGUACUAAAAAUCUCAGUUAAAUUGUACCGUACCUAUGAAGGAACCAAAUAAACCCAAACACAAGAAACAAAGCAAUAAUACUCUUCCUCGGAAAGGGAACGGUGGAGAACAUUUCUGAUCCUGACUGAUGAGAGCAUACAUCACCCGCCCCACAAUGAGCUCAGUAACCCUACAUUAAAGUAACCCUACGGCUUUUAAUUAGACAUCUGGAGUGUGCUUUUUAAUGCUCCAGACCAGUUGCUCUAAGCUUUCUGUAAUGCCUGUAAUGGAAAUCUAGACCCUGGCAUAGCAAACCCUCUGGUAAAUCUACUGAUAAUAGGCUUACUCUUUUUCCUUCACAGACCUCGUUAUUAGCACGAGUGUACAAAAAUACAAGAUGAAACCACUACGCAGCCUUCGGUAGGAUUUUCUGCUGCUUCUGUAAAUUUCCCAUGUGAUUUUGAAUGUUUUUCAUGGUGAAACAAGUCAGAAAAUCUUGGAACGCGCUAAUACAGGUCCCCGUGAACUUAUGUUGGAAAACUAGCACGAGGCAGGCCUAUUUAACUUCACUGCUGAUACAAACUUGUUUGCACUGUAGUUAAUGAUUCAGUUCUUUCAUUUUCCUUCCUGCAAAGUUUUUUUUAAUCUUAUCUCUGCAUUGAAAUAAUGGAUACAAAGUACUACGAAAAUAACUUUUCAAAUCUUAAGAAUACAGAAUGAUAUCUUGACAGCUGAAAAACUCUUUUACUCCUUUUUGACUAUGAAACUAUUUGCUCUUCCAUAGCCUUAACUUUCGCUAUUUUGUGCCUGAGUAAACCAAGCUGGAAACAAUACAAGUAUUUAUAUUCAC
Molecule: long non-coding RNA, 4032 nt
Organism: Cygnus olor (mute swan)
Lineage: Eukaryota; Metazoa; Chordata; Aves; Anseriformes; Anatidae
Exons: 2
Source: RefSeq, a predicted model, not a curated record